UACGUAUGGAGCAAGCGUUAUCCGGAUUUACUGGGUGUAAAGGGUGCGUAGGUGGCAGUGUAAGUCAGAUGUGAAAGGCCGGGGCUCAACCCCGGAGCUGCAUUUGAAACUGCUCGGCUAGAGUACAGGAGAGGCAGGCGGAAUUCCUAGUGUAGCGGUGAAAUGCAUAGAUAUUAGGAGGAACACCAGUGGCGAAGGCGGCCUGCUGGACUGUUACUGACACUGAGGCACGAAAGCGUGGGGAGCAAACAGG
RNAcentral lists this ribosomal RNA (253 nucleotides) under Anaerobutyricum hallii. Its description in RNAcentral is "partial 16S ribosomal RNA". It matches the Rfam family "Bacterial small subunit ribosomal RNA", at positions 524 to 776 of the family's 1533-position model. The record is from RNAcentral. Lineage: Bacteria; Bacillati; Bacillota; Clostridia; Lachnospirales; Lachnospiraceae.